Molecule: ribosomal RNA, 439 nt
Filed under: uncultured bacterium
Lineage: Bacteria
Description: partial 16S ribosomal RNA
Rfam family: Bacterial small subunit ribosomal RNA
Source: RNAcentral
CUACGGGACGCUCCAGUGAGGAAUAUUGCACAAUGGGGGGAACCCUGAUGCAGCAACGCCGCGUGGAGGAUGACGCAUUUCGGUGUGUAAACUCCUUUUAUAUGUCAAGAAAAUGACGGUAGCAUAUGAAUAAGCACCGGCUAACUCCGUGCCAGCAGCCGCGGUAAUACGGAGGGUGCAAGCGUUACUCGGAAUCACUGGGCGUAAAGGACGCGUAGGCGGGUUGGAAAGUCAGGUGUGAAAUCCUACAGCUUAACUGUAGAACUGCACUUGAAACUUCUAAUCUAGAGUAUGGGAGGGGGAGAUGGAAUUAGUGGUGUAGGGGUAAGAUCCGUAGAUAUCACUAGGAAUACCUAAAGCGAAGGCGAUCUCCUGGAACAUUACUGACGCUAAGGCGUCAAAGCGUGGGGAGCAAACAGGAUUAGAUACCCGAGUAGUC